Molecule: ribosomal RNA, 497 nt
Filed under: uncultured bacterium
Lineage: Bacteria
Description: partial 16S ribosomal RNA
Rfam family: Bacterial small subunit ribosomal RNA
Source: RNAcentral
GACGAACGCUGGCGGCGUGCCUAAUACAUGCAAGUUGAGCGCUGAAGGUUGGUACUUGUACCAACUGGAUGAGCAGCGAACGGGUGAGUAACGCGUGGGGAAUCUGCCUUUGAGCGGGGGACAACAUUUGGAAACGAAUGCUAAUACCGCAUAAAAACUUUAAACACAAGUUUUAAGUUUGAAAGAUGCAAUUGCAUCACUCAAAGAUGAUCCCGCGUUGUAUUAGCUAGUUGGUGAGGUAAAGGCUCACCAAGGCGAUGAUACAUAGCCGACCUGAGAGGGGGGUAGGCCACAUUGGGACUGAGACAAGGCCCAAACUACUACGGGAGGGAGCAGUAGGGAAACUUCGGCAAAGGACGAAAGGCUGAACGAGGAACGCCGCGUGAGUGAAGAAGGUUUUCGGAUCGUAAAACUCGGUUGGUAGAGAAGAACGUUGGUGAGAGUGGAAAGCUCAUCAAGUGACGGUAACUACACAGAAAGAGACGGCUAACUACGUG